RNAcentral lists this ribosomal RNA (492 nucleotides) under uncultured bacterium. RNAcentral's name for it is "partial 16S ribosomal RNA". It matches the Rfam family "Bacterial small subunit ribosomal RNA", at positions 29 to 507 of the family's 1533-position model. The record is from RNAcentral.
AGUGAACGCUGGCGGUAGGCCUAACACAUGCAAGUCGAACGGCAGCACAGUAAGAGCUUGCUCUUACGGGUGGCGAGUGGCGGACGGGUGGGGAAUACAUCGGAACCUACUUUUUCGUGGGGGAUAACGUAGGGAAACUAUCGCUAAUACGGCAUACGACCUACGGGUGAAAGCAGGGGAUCUUCGGACUUUGCGCGAUUGAAUGACCCGAUGUCGGAUUGGCUAGUUGGCGGGGUAAAGGCCCACCAAGGCGACGACCCGUAGCUGGUCUGAGAGGAUGAUCAGCGACACUGGAACUGAGACACGGUCCAGGCUCCUACGGGAGGCAGCAGUGGGGAAUAUGGGACAAUGGGCGCAAGCCUGAUCCAGCCAUACCGCGUGGGUGAAGAAGGCCUUCGGGUUGUAAAGCCCUUUUGUUGGGAAAGAAAAGCAGCAGGUUAAGACCCCGCUGUUCUGACGGUACCCAAAGAAGAAGCACCGGCUAACUUCGUG